RNAcentral lists this long non-coding RNA (591 nucleotides) under Taeniopygia guttata (zebra finch). Its description in RNAcentral is "lncRNA (ENSTGUG00000023024.1)". The record is from RNAcentral. Lineage: Eukaryota; Metazoa; Chordata; Aves; Passeriformes; Estrildidae.
GAUAACCUCACAGAGGCUGGCUCGUGCCAUGAACAAAUGUGGAGUGUGGAAGACUGAAAAAUGAUUUUUUCAAGGGCUGAUCAGUUUUGGUGCCUCCCAGCUACCACCAGCUACCAGCUACCAUGAUCAGGACUUCUUACAAAGAACAUGAAAAGUGUCUAUAGAGCUGUUAAAUAGCAAAAAGACACCAGUUUCAUGAAGAAUGUCAUCAAGGAGGACAUGGGAAGGGCAAAUUUUGGCUCAUCUACUACAUUGGCAGCUCUAAGAAAAGGAGACCUCAAACAUGGGACAGCUAUGGGAUCUACUAAAAGAAAAUGACAGUCACAGAAGAAGAGUAUGCUUAUCUCUGCUUAUGAUACAGAAGAUAGUGGAGGAUGUCAGCCAAAAGCCUAAUAUGAGACAAUUUAUACUGAGGAGCAUGGGAAGAUGCACCAGAGAAGGUCACGCUUUCAGUAAAUGUAGUAGAACCUGAACAUUCCAAAGUUCCCUGCAUCUGGCUCAAAAGGGGAGAAGCUUCUGCGGGUAUGAAGAUCCUGGGUUAGAUUCCCAUCACAGACCACUGUGAAACACUGUCUUUCAAAAUCAACACUC